This is a non-coding RNA of Vicia faba (fava bean), 267 nucleotides long. The record is from the annotation of a GenBank genome assembly. Lineage: Eukaryota; Viridiplantae; Streptophyta; Magnoliopsida; Fabales; Fabaceae.
AUGAUGAUGAAUGGUGCCGAGAAAGUUAAGAGAGUUUUUCUGAUUUGUGAUGGUGAUUCUUCCACACGAUUGAAGAAUGAAGAACGAUGCAAAGUGAUUGCCCUUUUUAUAUUUCUGUUAUCAGUAGAAAUUGAAUGUCGGACCCUUGCUAAGACUGGCUUGCAUCUCUCUUUUUGGUUCAGCUUCAGCAUGAAGAAUGAAGAUGUAAAGUGGACCGAAAUGAGCAUGGAGAAGAUGCUUGAAGAAGAAGUCAACCCAAGAACUUAG